RNAcentral lists this ribosomal RNA (1689 nucleotides) under metagenome. RNAcentral describes it as "bacterial LSU rRNA". It matches the Rfam family "Bacterial large subunit ribosomal RNA", at positions 1254 to 2925 of the family's 2925-position model. The record is from RNAcentral.
GGGUGUGCUGUGAGGCAUGCUGGAGGUAUCAGAAGUGCGAAUGCUGACAUAAGUAACGAUAAAGCGGGUGAAAAGCCCGCUCGCCGGAAGACCAAGGGUUCCUGUCCAACGUUAAUCGGGGCAGGGUGAGUCGACCCCUAAGGCGAGGCCGAAAGGCGUAGUCGAUGGGAAACAGGUUAAUAUUCCUGUACUUGGUGUUACUGCGAAGGGGGGACGGAGAAGGCUAUGUUGGCCGGGCGACGGUUGUCCCGGUUUAAGCGUGUAGGCUGGUUUUCCAGGCAAAUCCGGAAAAUCAAGCCUGAGGCGUGAUGACGAGGCACUACGGUGCUGAAGCAACAAAUGCCCUGCUUCCAGGAAAAGCCUCUAAGCAUCAGGUAACAUCAAAUCGUACCCCAAACCGACACAGGUGGUCAGGUAGAGAAUACCAAGGCGCUUGGGAGAACUCGGGUGAAGGAACUAGGCAAAAUGGUGCCGUAACUUCGGGAGAAGGCACGCUGAUAUGUAGGUGAGGUCCCUCGCGGAUGGAGCUGAAAUCAGUCGAAGAUACCAGCUGGCUGCAACUGUUUAUUAAAAACACGGCACUGUGCAAACACGAAAGUGGACGUAUACGGUGUGACGCCUGCCCGGUGCCGGAAGGUUAAUUGAUGGGGUUAGCGCAAGCGAAGCUCUUGAUCGAAGCCCCGGUAAACGGCGGCCGUAACGAUAACGGUCCUAAGGUAGCGAAAUUCCUUGUCGGGUAAGUUCCGACCUGCACGAAUGGCGUAAUGAUGGCCAGGCUGUCUCCACCCGAGACUCAGUGAAAUUGAACUCGCUGUGAAGAUGCAGUGUACCCGCGGCAAGACGGAAAGACCCCGUGAACCUUUACUAUAGCUUGACACUGAACAUUGAGCCUUGAUGUGUAGGAUAGGUGGGAGGCUUUGAAGUGUGGACGCCAGUCUGCAUGGAGCCGACCUUGAAAUACCACCCUUUAAUGUUUGAUGUUCUAACGUUGACCCGUAAUCCGGGUUGCGGACAGUGUCUGGUGGGUAGUUUGACUGGGGCGGUCUCCUCCUAAAGAGUAACGGAGGAGCACGAAGGUUGGCUAAUCCUGGUCGGACAUCAGGAGGUUAGCGCAAUGGCAUAAGCCAGCUUGACUGCGAGCGUGACGGCGCGAGCAGGUGCGAAAGCAGGUCAUAGUGAUCCGGUGGUUCUGAAUGGAAGGGCCAUCGCUCAACGGAUAAAAGGUACUCCGGGGAUAACAGGCUGAUACCGCCCAAGAGUUCAUAUCGACGGCGGUGUUUGGCACCUCGAUGUCGGCUCAUCACAUCCUGGGGCUGAAGUAGGUCCCAAGGGUAUGGCUGUUCGCCAUUUAAAGUGGUACGCGAGCUGGUUUAGAACGUCGUGAGACAGUUCGGUCCCUAUCUGCCGUGGGCGCUGGAGAACUGAGGGGGGCUGCUCCUAGUACGAGAGGACCGGAGUGGACGCAUCACUGGUGUUCGGGUUGUCAUGCCAAUGGCACUGCCCGGUAGCUAAAUGCGGAAGAGAUAAGUGCUGAAAGCAUCUAAGCACGAAACUUGCCCCGAGAUGAGUUCUCCCUGACCCUUUAAGGGUCCUGAAGGAACGUUGAAGACGACGACGUUGAUAGGCCGGGUGUGUAAGCGCAGCGAUGCGUUGAGCUAACCGGUACUAAUGAACCGUGAGGCUUAACCC